GACGAACGCUGGCGGCGUGCCUAAUACAUGCAAGUAGAACGCUGAGGUUUGGUGUUUACACUAGACUGAUGAGUUGCGAACGGGUGAGUAACGCGUAGGUAACCUGCCUCAUAGCGGGGGAUAACUAUUGGAAACGAUAGCUAAUACCGCAUAAGAGUAAUUAACACAUGUUAGUUAUUUAAAAGGAGCAAUUGCUUCACUGUGAGAUGGACCUGCGUUGUAUUAGCUAGUUGGUGAGGUAAAGGCUCACCAAGGCGACGAUACAUAGCCGACCUGAGAGGGUGAUCGGCCACACUGGGACUGAGACACGGCCCAGACUCCUACGGGAGGCGGCAGUAGGGAAUCUUCGGCAAUGGACGGAAGUCUGACCGAGCAACGCCGCGUGAGUGAAGAAGGUUUUCGGAUCGUAAAGCUCUGUUGUUAGAGAAGAACGUUGGUAGGAGUGGAAAAUCUACCAAGUGACGGUAACUAACCAGAAAGGGACGGCUAACUACGUGCCAGCAGCCGCGGUAAUACGUAAGUCCCGAGCGU
Molecule: ribosomal RNA, 531 nt
Filed under: uncultured Streptococcus sp.
Lineage: Bacteria; Bacillati; Bacillota; Bacilli; Lactobacillales; Streptococcaceae
Description: bacterial SSU rRNA
Rfam family: Bacterial small subunit ribosomal RNA
Source: RNAcentral